AGUGAACGCUGGCGGUAGGCCUAACACUUGCAAGUCGAACGGCAGCACAGGAGAGCUUGCUCUCUGGGUGGCGAGUGGCGGACGGGUGAGGAAUACAUCGGAAUCUACUCUGUCGUGGGGGAUAACGUAGGGAAACUUACGCUAAUACCGCAUACGACCUACGGGUGAAAGCAGGGGACCUUCGGGCCUUGCGCGAUUGAAUGAGCCGAUGUCGGAUUAGCUAGUUGGCGGGGUAAAGGCCCACCAAGGCGACGAUCCGUAGCUGGUCUGAGAGGAUGAGCAGCCACACUGGAACUGAGACACGGUCCAGACUCCUACGGGAGGCAGCAGUGGGGAAUAUUGGACAAUGGGCGCAAGCCUGAUCCAGCCAUACCGCGUGGGUGAAGAAGGCCUUCGGGUUGUAAAGCCCUUUUGUUGGGAAAGAAAUCCAGCUGGCUAAUACCCGGUUGGGAUGACGGUACCCAAAGAAUAAGCACCGGCUAAUUUCGUGCCAGCAGCCGCAGUAA
RNAcentral lists this ribosomal RNA (506 nucleotides) under uncultured bacterium. RNAcentral's name for it is "partial 16S ribosomal RNA". It matches the Rfam family "Bacterial small subunit ribosomal RNA", at positions 29 to 523 of the family's 1533-position model. The record is from RNAcentral.